Molecule: ribosomal RNA, 735 nt
Filed under: Heterotergum artemisiae
Lineage: Eukaryota; Metazoa; Arthropoda; Arachnida; Trombidiformes; Eriophyidae
Description: partial 18S ribosomal RNA
Rfam family: Eukaryotic small subunit ribosomal RNA
Source: RNAcentral
ACAAGCCUGAGAAACGGCUAGUAGGACUAAGGUCUGCAGCAGGCGCGAAACUUACACAAUGCUAGAUUUCGAUUAGCGAUGUAGUGAAGAAAAAUAACGAUGUGCUUCCUUUUAAACAAGGUUGCACAAUUGGAAUGAGACGACUUUAAAACAGUCAGUCGAGUAACAAAUGGAGGGCAAGUCUGGUGCCAGCAGCCGCGGUAAUUCCAGCUCCAUUAGCAUACAUUAAAGUUGUUGCGGUUAAAAAGCUCGUAGUUGAAUGUCUGGCGGGCUCUUGGGUGGGUGGUGCAUCAAGGCUGACUUCGGUCGGCUGCGCCUCCUUUACCCUCUUGGCCCGUUGUUUCGUCACUUAAUCGAGUGCGAAGCGUGUCGAUGGAGUAGAAAGUUAACUCUUUCAACGCCACUGGCAAGUUUACCUUGAGAAAAUUAGAGUGCUCAGCGCAGGCAGUCGGGGUGUAAAAGCCCCUUUAUGCUUGAAUAAUGUUGCAUGGAAUAAUAGAAUACGGCCUCGGUUCUAUUCUGUUGGUCUUAUAGAACAACAAACAAGUUGGUGCGGGCGAUCAAUGCGACUGUCUGGUGUGGUCUAUUCGAAAUUCGUGCUGUCUGCGGCCUCAAAAUCGCAGUACCUCAUUUUCGGUAUUCCAUCAAAGCACCUCUCAGAAGCAUGCCCACACACCAACUGAGGCAAUGGUUAAAAGAAAUAGUCGCGGCGGCAUCAGUACUGCAUCGUGAGAG